GUAGGGAAUCUUGGGCAAUGGGCGAAAGCCUGACCCAGCCAUGCCGCGUGAAUGAUGAAGGUCUUAGGAUUGUAAAAUUCUUUCACCGGGGACGAUAAUGACGGUACCCGGAGAAGAAGCCCCGGCUAACUUCGUGCCAGCAGCCGCGGUAAUACGAAGGGGGCUAGCGUUGCUCGGAAUUACUGGGCGUAAAGGGCGCGUAGGCGGAUCGUUAAGUUAGAGGUGAAAGCCCAGGGCUCAACCUUGGAACUGCCUUUGAUACUGGCGAUCUGGAGUACGGGAGAGGUGUGUGGAACUCCGAGUGUAGAGGUGAAAUUCGUAGAUAUUCGGAAGAACACCAGUGGCGAAGGCGACACACUGGCCCGUUACUGACGCUGAGGCGCGAAAGCGUGGGGAGCAAACAGGAUUAGAUACCCCUGUAGUCC
Molecule: ribosomal RNA, 425 nt
Filed under: uncultured bacterium
Lineage: Bacteria
Description: bacterial SSU rRNA
Rfam family: Bacterial small subunit ribosomal RNA
Source: RNAcentral